AUAGACGUCACAGUUAUUAAAACACGGGCAAAAUUUGUUUGUCAGUUCAAAUGACAUAAGUAGAUUUCAAUUAGCUUACAUUUUAUGCCUCCAUCGUUUUUCGUACCCAACUGCAUUUAUUUGUAUGACUCUUUCGGAGAGGUGACGUCGAAGUGAUGAUUAGAAAUUAAUGCUAUGCUAACAGAAUUAUUUUUGAUAACAGAAGGCUCUAGAACAAUACUUAUGAAGAAAAAACUAAGUUAAUACAAUCCAAUCAUAGCUGACCUCAAGAGUGAGAAUGACAUGCGACUGACGAGUAAAACAAAUCGGUCUAGACAAUGUGAGGUGUGUCUGGAUUUCGUGAUGCAUUAGGUUAUGAGGUUAUAAAAUCAGAACUAAUAAAAGACUGGAGCUAAAUAAAGCGACAAUGGCGCAACUAGGCGAAUGCCGGUACAUCCGGGAACGCGGGCGGGUCAAGGUCACGGCCCGCGGAUCGAUGCAGCUACGCCGCCCGGGCUACGCCCCGCUACGCCGCACGUACCCCUCUACGCUGGCACGCCGCUACGCCCGAAUCCGCAAACUUUUUAAUUCCGCCUUAUGACGUCAGAACGUAUUGGAUCGGGAGUACGGGAGUACUUUUAUAAUUUAUUUUCUUUAAUAAAACCUACGCUAUUACCGCGAGCGUUCGAUUAAAUUGAUCGGGGACUGGAACUGAAGUGGAAACGUAUUAGAAAACCUUAUUUAUCUUUAAUAUUUGAACGGAAAUGAAAAUGUUCGACUGAAUUAUUUUUACAUUCUUUUAAAUAAACAAUUUUUUUUGCUA
Molecule: long non-coding RNA, 802 nt
Organism: Bombyx mori (domestic silkworm)
Lineage: Eukaryota; Metazoa; Arthropoda; Insecta; Lepidoptera; Bombycidae
Exons: 2
Source: RefSeq, a predicted model, not a curated record